Molecule: ribosomal RNA, 484 nt
Filed under: uncultured bacterium
Lineage: Bacteria
Description: partial 16S ribosomal RNA
Rfam family: Bacterial small subunit ribosomal RNA
Source: RNAcentral
AUUGAACGCUGGCGGCAGGCCUAACACAUGCAAGUCGAGCGGAUGAAGGGAGCUUGCUCCUGGAUUCAGCGGCGGGCGGGUGAGUAAUGCCUAGGAAUCUGCCUGGUAGUGGGGGAUAACGUCCGGAAACGGGCGCUAAUACCGCAUACGUCCUGAGGGAGAAAGUGGGGGAUCUUCGGACCUCACGCUAUCAGAUAAGCCUAGGUCGGAUUAGCUAGUUGGUGGGGUAAAGGCCUACCAAGGCGACGAUCCGUAACUGGUCUGAGAGGAUGAUCAGUCACACUGGAACUGAGACACGGUCCAGACUCCUACGGGAGGCAGCAGUGGGGAAUAUUGGACAAUGGGCGAAAGCCUGAUCCAGCCAUGCCGCGUGUGUGAAGAAGGUCUUCGGAUUGUAAAGCACUUUAAGUUGGGAGGAAGGGCAGUAAGUUAAUACCUUGCUGUUUUGACGUUACCAACAGAAUAAGCACCGGCUAACUUCGUG